This 468-nucleotide long non-coding RNA is filed under the name Gouania willdenowi (blunt-snouted clingfish). Its description in RNAcentral is "lncRNA (ENSGWIG00000017487.1)". Lineage: Eukaryota; Metazoa; Chordata; Actinopteri; Blenniiformes; Gobiesocidae. The record is from RNAcentral.
CCGGCAUUCACAUCGGAGUUACCUGCAUCGUGUUCUGCGUCCUCUUCCUCAUCUUCAGCUACCGUGGCAGGUUAAUGAUGUGUAAGAGCGUUCAAGCCACCCCUCAGGCUGGGCAUAGCGUCGUGCUGGAAUCCUCCUCCUCUUCCCAGGGGGCCUCCAGGCUCAACGGCACUGCCAGGAGAGAGAUGGAGGUCAAUGGCAGCACAGCAGGGAAAAAAGUAGUAGACGGCAACGAGCUCGAGAGACUUUUCACUCAACCCACCACACAAGAUACACACAUGUCCGACUCCUACAUGCUGAACGAAACCCAGGUGUCGACGAUACCACUGGACGAAUUCCACAUGCAGAGUGAGGGACAGUUUGAGGAACCUCCUGCAGCAGAAGCAGCUCUGCCAGACCAAGGCUGAUCUUGUAUGAAGGCCAACUUCACUCGACACUUGACGGGUGUCGUCUUAGACUCUUCUCUCU